GAUUAUCACAAUAACUGGAGUACCAUGCAAACAAUUAAGCAGCAAACCAAUGUAAAUUAAGAUUAAUGUGAGGUUAUGCCAGUCCAAGCAUGACCACAAGCGCAGAUGCAUUGGCAUCACCGGACUGCAUGCUUGGUGAGUUGGCCCAAUAAAAUUAUAGAUCAUGAUAUCUUUUCUUAAGCUACUGGGCAAUCAGAAAUUAUGAGUCGGUCCAUUUUGCUCCAAACAAAUGUAAGUGGAGC
This 242-nucleotide long non-coding RNA is filed under the name Elaeis guineensis (African oil palm). RNAcentral's name for it is "long non-coding RNA (EGUI_LNC013317)". The record is from RNAcentral. Lineage: Eukaryota; Viridiplantae; Streptophyta; Magnoliopsida; Arecales; Arecaceae.